RNAcentral lists this ribosomal RNA (117 nucleotides) under Triticum aestivum (bread wheat). Its description in RNAcentral is "partial small subunit ribosomal RNA". Lineage: Eukaryota; Viridiplantae; Streptophyta; Magnoliopsida; Poales; Poaceae. The record is from RNAcentral.
AUGGCAUACUCCAUUGCUUUGUAUAUCUGUUAUGCCAGUUCCUAUUGCCCUAACUGUACUGUACUAUCGGUUCAAAAAAAAGUGUACUGUACUAUGCAAGUACUGCACUCCAGCUAA